CGUUUUUGUUUUUAGUCUGAUUUCGUCUUCGCUGUUGGGGGUUGGAGCUUCAACUUUUUCGCUUGAAACGCGCGGUUAAUUUUGAAUUAUAACCUUUUUUGUGUUCCAACUGAUUUCAUUGUGAUAACAAUUUAAAAUUGUUCUUUUUUCUAUAAGUCGGUAGACCGUCA
Teleopsis dalmanni is the source of this 170-nucleotide long non-coding RNA. RefSeq lists it as uncharacterized. NCBI's taxonomy places the organism in Eukaryota, Metazoa, Arthropoda, Insecta, Diptera, Diopsidae. The transcript has 3 exons. The record is from RefSeq and is a predicted model, not a curated record.